This 253-nucleotide ribosomal RNA is filed under the name uncultured bacterium. RNAcentral describes it as "partial 16S ribosomal RNA". It matches the Rfam family "Bacterial small subunit ribosomal RNA", at positions 524 to 776 of the family's 1533-position model. The record is from RNAcentral.
UACGUAGGGUGCAGGCGUUAAUCGGAAUUACUGGGCGUAAAGCGUGCGCAGGCGGUUUCUUAAGUCAGAUGCGAAAGCCCCGGGCUUAACCUGGGAACUGCGUUUGAAACUGGGAGACUUGAGUGUGGCAGAGGGGGGUGGAAUUCCACGUGUAGCAGUGAAAUGCGUAGAUAUGUGGAGGAACACCGAUGGCGAAGGCAGCCCCCUGGGUUAACACUGACGCUCAUGCACGAAAGCGUGGGGAGCAAACAGG